Molecule: ribosomal RNA, 201 nt
Filed under: uncultured bacterium
Lineage: Bacteria
Description: partial 16S ribosomal RNA
Rfam family: Bacterial small subunit ribosomal RNA
Source: RNAcentral
ACGCUCGACACCUACGGGGAGGCAGCAGGUGGGGAAUAUUGCACAAUGGGGGAAACCCUGAUGCAGCGACGCCGCGUGGAGGAAGAAGGUCUUCGGAUUGUAAACUCCUGUUGUUGGGGAAAAAGAGGAUUGGUACCCAACAAGGAAGUGACGGCUAACUACGUACCAGCAGCCGCGGUAAUCUGAGCGGGCUGGCAAGGC